GAGAGAUGACCGAGUGGUUUAAGGUACCGGUCUUGAAAACCGGCGUGCUGUAAAAGGUACCGAGGGUUCGAAUCCCUCUCUCUCC
RNAcentral lists this transfer RNA (85 nucleotides) under pig gut metagenome. It matches the Rfam family "tRNA". Rfam says of the family: Transfer RNA (tRNA) molecules are approximately 80 nucleotides in length. Their secondary structure includes four short double-helical elements and three loops (D, anti-codon, and T loops). The record is from RNAcentral.